GGUCCCAUAGCUCAGUUGGUUAGAGCGUGGUGCUAAUAACACCAAGGUCGCGAGUUCAACCCUCGUUGGGACCA
This is a transfer RNA of Phialocephala subalpina, 74 nucleotides long. It matches the Rfam family "tRNA". Rfam says of the family: Transfer RNA (tRNA) molecules are approximately 80 nucleotides in length. Their secondary structure includes four short double-helical elements and three loops (D, anti-codon, and T loops). The record is from Rfam. Lineage: Eukaryota; Fungi; Ascomycota; Leotiomycetes; Helotiales; Mollisiaceae.